AGAGUUUGAUCAUGGCUCAGAACGAACGCUGGCGGCNNGAUAAGACAUGCAAGUCGAGCGCUGAUUAUGAGGUAGCAAUAUUUCGUAGUCGGAGCGGCGCAAGGGUGCGUAACACGUGGGUAAUCUGCCAUGAAGUUUGGGAUAACUCGCUGAAAGGCGAGCUAAUACCGGAUGUGAAAAUUGGAAGGCAUCUUCCGAUUUUCAAAGCUGGGGACCGUAAGCCUGGCGCUUCUUGAUGAGCCCGCGGCCUAUCAGCUAGUUGGUGAGGUAACGGCUCACCAAGGCUAAGACGGGUAGCUGGUCUGAGAGGACGACCAGCCACACUGGAACUGAGACACGGUCCAGACACCUACGGGUGGCAGCAGUCGAGAAUUUUUCACAAUGGGCGCAAGCCUGAUGGAGCGACGCCGCGUGGGGGAUGAAUGGCUUCGGCCCGUAAACCCCUGUCAUUUGCGAUCAACCCUCAUUAUUUAAAAGAUGAUGAGCUGAUAGUAGCGAAAGAGGAAGGGACGGCUAACUCUGUGCCAGCAGCCGCGGUAAUACAGAGGUCCCAAGCGUUGUUCGGAUUCACUGGGCGUAAAGGGUGCGUAGGUGGUGGGGUAAGUCGGAUGUGAAAUCUCCGAGCUCAACUCGGAAAUGGCAUUGGAAACUACCCUGCUGGAGGGUCGGAGGGGGGACUGGAAUUCUCGGUGUAGCAGUGAAAUGCGUAGAUAUCGAGAGGAACACCAGUGGCGAAGGCGAGUCCCUGGACGACUCCUGACACUGAGGCACGAAAGCUAGGGGACAAACAGGAUUAGAUACCCUAGUAGUCC
Molecule: ribosomal RNA, 812 nt
Filed under: uncultured bacterium
Lineage: Bacteria
Description: bacterial SSU rRNA
Rfam family: Bacterial small subunit ribosomal RNA
Source: RNAcentral